This 206-nucleotide ribosomal RNA is filed under the name Escherichia coli. RNAcentral describes it as "partial 23S ribosomal RNA". It matches the Rfam family "Bacterial large subunit ribosomal RNA", at positions 1273 to 1483 of the family's 2925-position model. The record is from RNAcentral. Lineage: Bacteria; Pseudomonadati; Pseudomonadota; Gammaproteobacteria; Enterobacterales; Enterobacteriaceae.
CUGGAGGUAUCAGAAGUGCGAAUGCUGACAUAAGUAACGAUAAAGCGGGUGAAAAGCCCGCUCGCCGGAAGACCAAGGGUUCCUGUCCAACGUUAAUCGGGGCAGGGUGAGUCGACCCCUAAGGCGAGGCCGAAAGGCGUAGUCGAUGGGAAACAGGUUAAUAUUCCUGUACUUGGUGUUACUGCGAAGGGGGGACGGAGAAGGCU